This 477-nucleotide ribosomal RNA is filed under the name uncultured bacterium. Its description in RNAcentral is "partial 16S ribosomal RNA". It matches the Rfam family "Bacterial small subunit ribosomal RNA", at positions 28 to 507 of the family's 1533-position model. The record is from RNAcentral.
GAUUAACGCUGGCGGCGUGCAUAACACAUGCAAGUCGAACGAUGAAACUUUAAUGAACCCUUCGGGGAGAAUUAAAGCGGAUUAGUGGCGAACGGGUGAGUAACGCGUGAGUAACCUGCCUUACACAAGGGGAUAGCCUUUGGAAACGAAGAAUAAUACCCUAUAAAACCAUAAAAGCACAUGCAAUUAUGGUCAAAGUGAUAGCGGUGUAAGAUGGACUUGCGUCUGAUUAGCUAGUUGGUGAGAUAAAGGCCCACCAAGGCAACGAUCAGUAGCCGGCUUGAGAGAGUGUACGGCCACAUUGGGACUGAGACACGGCCCAGACUCCUACGGGAGGCAGCAGUGGGGAAUUUUGCACAAUGGGGGAAACCCUGAUGCAGCGACGCCGCGUGAUUUAGAAGGCCUUCGGGUUGUAAAAAUCUUUUGUAUAGGAAGAAAAUGACAGUACUAUACGAAUAAGGUCCGGCUAAUUACGUG